AUGGACAUGAGCGGGGAUACGUACCACUAUCAGCCGCCGGGGAUGGAGGAGGAUGGUGUCGGCCGUGCCGAGCAGGUCCCGACGGCCGCCGCGCCGGCGCUGAGCGCCAAGAAGUUGUGGCGCAUGGUGCGCGCCGUGCACCUCGUGCUCGUCAGGGGCCUCGACAAGCACCAGCCCAAGCUCGCGGCGCUCGGCGUGAACCUGCACCACAUGCUGUCAUCGUCCAAGCGCCAUCACAACCACCUGCCGUCGGCGCGGGACCAGGACCCGGCGUUCACGACGUACCUGUCGGCGGUGCUCUCCUGCCGGUCCAUGGACCCGGGCGCCGCGGUGCACCCGUACCCGCGCGGCCGCGGGGCGCACGGUGGCAGGGGCAGCGCGUCCUCGAUCUCGUCGACGCUGUCGUGCCGGUCCAUGGACCCCGGCGCCGCCGUGUACCAGCAGUACCAGUACCGACCACGCGAGGUAGAGUUCAGCUGCAGCAGCCCGCCGGUGCACAGGCGCCGCCGCCGCGCGCACCGGCACCGGGGCCAGAGCCUGCUCCCGCAGCAGCAGCACGGCGACCUUCCGGAGUACACCUCGGCUCCUGCCGUGAAGACGCUGUUCGAGCUGAUGGACGACGUGGAGGAGGGGGAGGAGGGCAACGUGGAGGGCGCGACAGUGCCCUGGGCUGCCGGGCGCGGCCCGGCGGCGCGGCAGGUGCGGAUCACGGACUCACCGUUCGCGGCGAGGGCGGAGGACGACGAGGAAGGGCGCAAGGGCGUGGUCGACCGGCGCGCCGACGAGUUCAUCGUGUGGUUCCACGACCAGCUGCGCAUGCAGCAGCAGCAGCAGCGCCCCGCCGCCAGGGAUCGCUCCACGCACCGGGUUAGAUAG
RNAcentral lists this ribosomal RNA (876 nucleotides) under Triticum aestivum (bread wheat). RNAcentral's name for it is "partial small subunit ribosomal RNA". Lineage: Eukaryota; Viridiplantae; Streptophyta; Magnoliopsida; Poales; Poaceae. The record is from RNAcentral.